CCCGGCCUGUUGAUGAACCGGAUGAGUGCUGGCAACACCGACAACAGCCAGCCGAGGUCCAGUGCUCUGCACAUAUUGGGCUUCAUGGGAAUGGCAGACGUUGCAGCCGGCGUGGACGUCACUCGCUAGACGAAAACGCUGUUGAACUCUACUGCACGCAACACGUCAACAAGUUGCAUCGCGAGAACGGUCGUGCGGAGGUCGUUCCUGCUCAUCGCCAACAGCAGGAUGAACAGCGUAGGAGGGCGGAGGAGCGUGAGCAACUCCACCCGAGACGAAGGUCACCGCGUCUGGUAGAGCGAGAGAUCGCAGCUGCCGCCGCUGUUCAACUCGCCGCGGAGAGAGAGCAACGUCGUGCCGCCAAUCGGGCAAACCAGAACCUGCGGAGGUCGGCCCGGAUUGCCGCGAGGCGAGGCAAUGUGUGAUUAUAGCCUGGACUGAUUCGCAGAAGCAGCAGGGGGGAGACCGAGGGGGGAUACUGGGUCGAACACUGCUGAGGUUCUCGGGACGUAAACGCCUUGCUAUAGGAGUAGUAGGGAGGAAGCCGAGACGGGUAGUGCAUGGUCACUCAAAACCAGACCCGCUGUACUAUCGUAGUCAAGAAAGACUGGGUGUGGUCAGUCGAGGUAGACGCCGGAGGCCAUUCCCUUUCUUUGACCGCCUGUAAAUUAUUCCAAGAAGAUCAGGCCUCACCGUGGGACGCGCACACACGUCGUAAGUAUGCAGGUAUUUCAAUGUCUACCUUGUGAUAAUAUAUUCCUACUCACCAGAUCAGUUUACCCAAUACCUCCUAAUAGAAGUCAUGUAUACUUCUGAGGUUUGACAUGUAGGUUAUUACAUUGAGAAUUUGUGAAUAUUUGGCUGAAAAUCUUUUUUAAUAUACGUUAUAUUGUUAUAAGGGUUCAGAAGUUGUCUUUUUUUGUAAGUUUAGUUAUUGGUUUUGCAAUCAUCCAUCUCAUAAAAGUAGUUGUACUGAUAUUUCAAUGUGUAUUAUUUAUUGUUAUAAAAUUUAGUGUUGAGUUUAUAAAGGUUAAGCUUAAAUUAUUAAUAUGACCUACUCGGUGAUUAAUGAGCAAUGUGUAAUUUAAAAUGUGUUCAAUUGACCUAUGCUUUAUGUACUGUAUAUAGUUGUUAGCCAUGUGAAGUAAAAAA
Long non-coding RNA from Strongylocentrotus purpuratus (purple sea urchin), 1152 nucleotides. RefSeq lists it as uncharacterized. The transcript is spliced from 5 exons. NCBI's taxonomy places the organism in Eukaryota, Metazoa, Echinodermata, Echinoidea, Camarodonta, Strongylocentrotidae. The record is from RefSeq and is a predicted model, not a curated record.